UGCGAGCAUGCUCACUGUUUUGUCUACAGCCCAAAAGUAACAGCUCUGAGAAAUAAAACAAACAACCACACAACAAAAAAACCAGCCACGUAAACUAGUGUAUUUAAAUCAACUCAAUUUAAAAGGCAGGCUGUAUACUGUGCCUUAAACCCGAAGUUAACUGUGGCUGAGCCAGAUUGGUGGUGUUGGAUUUCAGCUCCCUGAGAAGCUGUGUAGGUGGCUGGAAGAGUUGGUGAGAAAACAGUGUUACUCUGAAUUUGAAGUCUGUUGAAGUAGAAGAAUGUCAGAAGCCAUUUACAAAGGGCUAUUCAAGGACCACAGACAAGUUCGCUGAGUUGAGAUGAUUUUCUCAGCAUAUUCCUCCUCCCAGGAGACAAAGCUGACAAUCAAUUCCAAACCUUCAGAUUGUAUUCUAACUCAUUGAAUGUUUACAGUCUAAAAGAAGAGACAAGUGAAGUGUACAGGAAAUGUGAAACAAGACCAAAAAAAAGAAGUCAGAGAGAUGCUUAUGAAAAGUUCUGUUGGAGAGGCUUGCAUCCAGCUGUGGGAACUUAGGGGGCUUUCUAGAGGGGUGACAUUUGAAAUCAAUCUGAAAGUCUGGGUAGGACUUUAACAGCAGAAGUCACUAAACUACUGGAAAAAGGAAGAGCAUGAGCACAGGCACGGGAGCGAGGUGUGUCUAGAGACUGUCAACUAAGUUUAUCAGACUGAAAUGUAAUGUACAAAGAGCAAGUAAGAGAGAGGUAUGUCUCGUGAGGCCAAGGUAGACUGGGGACAUAUGAGCUUUAGGAACUUGCAGGUAAUUUGGAAGAAAAUAGGGAGCCGUUAUCCAACCAGAUGGCUUGCUAGCUAGCUAGAUACUGCUUCACAACCAUUGCAUGUGAUCAUAGUCACUUGGGGGGUCUUGGAGAAAAAUAUUGAAUCACCCCAGAUCUAUAGUGAGAAUAUCGGGUGACUUGGAAAUUUAUACUUGAAAACAAAACCAAACAAAACCUCCACAGAUGCUUAAUAUUCUCUAGGUCUGGGAGUCACUUUGUAGAUUAUAGAUUACUGCCCAGGAAGUCUUAUUUUCAUUUAUCAGAAGUCAAUUGAGUACUUAAUAAUUAUCAGACAUUGUGCUAAUUACUGGAAAUGUGGAGAGGAAGCCAACAGACACUGUCACCUAUCUCUUAGUUUACAGCCUAGCAAGGUAACCAACACUAUAUAAAUAAUUAUGUAAAUUGUAACUCUACUGAGUACUGUCAAGAAGUACAGGGUGUCAUAAGAGCAUACAAUGGGGGGACUGCCAACUCUGGUUAGGGGAGACCCCCUUGAGGAGGUGAAAUGUUAACCAAGACCUCAGGGCCUAAGCAGGUGAAAGGUUUGAAAACCAUAUCAGUAAUUCACUGUAAAAUAAUUAAAGACCUGAAAUAGGGACUAGAGUUCAGGAGGAGAUGAAUGUGUUUCUGUUUCUGUUUGCUUGCACAGUGAAACAAAGGGAAAAAAUACUACAAGAAAAAAGCAUGAGAUGUACAGCAAAAAAAUGAAGAAACUGAGCCAACUUAUUGGUGGAACUAUCGCUUUGCCAGGUUUUUAAUGACAAUUGAUGCCAUUGUCUGAGCACUUAAGGCCUGACUUGGCUGUGGUGUUUGGAAUUGAGUCCUCACUAACCUCUUCUUCAGUGUAGUCCUAUUGGAAUGAAGAAUUUAAAGUUUAUACACCAUUCUUGUACAUUCGGGUGUACAAAAAUACAACAAAAAGAAUACAUUGUUUUUCCAUUUUUAGAAAGGGGAAAAAGUACCUAAGAGACCCCUGGGUUCUGAAAUCUCUCCAGGUAUCUUUUCUCUCUUUGGCUUUCCUUGAGUCUUGGCACCUAAGAAAGUGAUAAAUGUCACCAGGGACUUCAAUUCCUUUUCCUUUGCCUGUUAUUUAAGCUUCAGAACUUUCUGAGUUCCUAAUUUCCAUGGAACUAUCGAAAUGUCCCUGUUUAAUCUAUGUUCCACUUGAGAACUUAGAUUUCCCUUUGAAUUAGUUUUCUAAAAGCAUAGCCACUUAGUUUUUUCUGGACUUGGCUUAACGAUUAGCUCUAGUACUUAACAAAAUAAAAACCAUU
Long non-coding RNA from Manis pentadactyla (Chinese pangolin), 2092 nucleotides. RefSeq lists it as uncharacterized. NCBI's taxonomy places the organism in Eukaryota, Metazoa, Chordata, Mammalia, Pholidota, Manidae. The record is from RefSeq and is a predicted model, not a curated record. The transcript is spliced from 3 exons.